RNAcentral lists this ribosomal RNA (1241 nucleotides) under Blastocystis sp. subtype 23. RNAcentral describes it as "SSU rRNA". It matches the Rfam family "Eukaryotic small subunit ribosomal RNA", at positions 452 to 1634 of the family's 1831-position model. The record is from RNAcentral. Lineage: Eukaryota; Bigyra; Opalinata; Blastocystidae.
UGUUUUUGGUUUUACGACGGCAGUUGAUCUGAACUCAGGAUCACUCGUGUUACACUGCAAUCGCGUGUCGCCCUUGGAGGUAGUGACAAUAAAUCACAAUGCGGAACUUCUGUCUUGCAAUUGGAGUGAGAACAACGCACAACACUUAUCGAUAAACAAUUGGAGGGCAAGUCUGGUGCCAGCAGCCGCGGUAAUUCCAGCUCCAAUAGCGUAUAUUAACGUUGUUGCAGUUAAAAAGCUCGUAGUUGAAGUGAAGUAUGAAACCUUAACGUUUUCAUUUGAAUUCGUUUUGGUUUGAUACUCUUUCCAAUUUGUGUGCAUGGGUAUUCAUUUAUCUGUGUAGGCAUUUGGUCAUUUACUGUGAGAAAAUUAGAGUGUUCAAAGCAUACGUUUGUUUGAAUACAUUAGCAUGGAAUAAUUCGAAAAGGCUUUCAUGUUCGAUUUGAUUGGUUUGUUCGUGAAGGCAAGAUUAAAAGGGACAGUUGGGGGUAUUCAUAUUCAAUAGUCAGAGGCGAAAUUCUCGGAUUUAUGGAAGAUGAACUAGUGCGAAAGCAUUUACCAAGGAUGUUUUCAUUAAUCAAGAACGAAAGUUAGGGGAUCGAAGAGGCUUAGAUACCCUCGUAGUCUUAACUAUAAACGAUACCGACUAGGGGUUAGUGGAGGUCAUUUGUCUCUACUAGUACCUUAUGAGAAAUCAAAGUCUUUGGGUUCCGGGGGGAGUAUGGUCGCAAGGCUGAAACUUAAAGGAAUUGACGGAAGGGCACCACCAGGAGUGGAGCCUGCGGCUUAAUUUGACUCAACACGGGGAAACUUACCAGGUCCAGACAUAGGAAGGAUAGACAGAACAAAGCUCUUUCUUGAUUCUAUGGGUGGUGGUGCAUGGCCGUUCUUAGUUGGUGGAUUGAUUUGUCAGGCUAAUUCCGAUAACGAACGAGACCUCCGCCUACUAAAUAGAAAAUUAUAAUUCGUUAUAGUUUUCUUCUUAGAGGGACACUAUACAAGAAGUGUAGGGAAGCUGGAGGCAAUAACAGGUCUGUGAUGCCCUUAGAUGUCCUGGGCUGCACGCGCGCGACACUGAUUGAUUCAACAAGUGGCUGAUUUGAAAGAAUUGGCAACUCUUUUGAAAGUCAAUCGUGAUGGGGAUUGAUGUUUGGAAUUAUCAUCAUGAACGAGGAAUUCCUAGUAAGGGCGACACGCGAUUGCAGUCUUGAGUCCACCUGAAGGAGUCAAACGGGUUAAAA